UACAUGUUCCCUAGUAUGGCCUGUACCGCAUAGGUCUCCUGAACCUUGGAACUCUUCUGCACACAAGAUUAUUAAGGUUAGUACUUCCAACAAAACGAAUGAUCACAUCUCCCCCAUAGAUGCAGCUGGUCAUAAUUAAUAAAUGAAUUGCUGGAAAUAUGGAAAACUAAUAUAAUGCUACAGAAGGUAAUCUAUAGCACAAAAUGCACCAAAUGAAACCAUAAACAUGGUGGAAAGUAAACAAUAUUAUAAUAAAAGAUCCUCUGUUGAAAAGCAAGCCAUGGUUUGAAAACCAGGCCUCAAUCCCUAAUUAGCCGGGGUUGGCUAUAUUCCACGCAAUCCUUAACUUGAUGUUCUAUGAAGAAAUUAAAUUUUCUUUUGAGGCAGAGGAGGUUACUUUCAAAGGUUGCUAGACAGAUGACAUCCACCACUUUUAAUAUUGGAACAUUACAACCAUGUCUAGGUGGGGAACUGUAGAGUUUCUACCUAAUCCAACCAUUAGUGGAAAGGACUCCUGCUAACUAGUGAACAGCUGUAGUGGCCAACCUAGCAGCUAGACUUCUCAUCUCUCAAUGCUUGUAAAGAGGUCACAUUUGAGCAGUCAACCAUCUCAAAUGUAUGAAGAGAAAAAAUUGCAACAAUAAAAAAAAAAAUCAUAAAAGAGAACUAUGGUAUAUAUCACAAAGUAAACGAAUAAAAUUUUCUAAUCUUCGAUCAAAGGACACAUGAUUUAGCAUCCGCUUAAGGUGAGCAAGGAUUUGUUAUACUAAACAACCUAAUUGUAUUAAUUAAUCACUUCAUAGGUCCAAUAACACAGUUUGUAACUUCAUAACAAUUAACAUUAAUAUCUGCUGCCUGAAAAAAUCCAAAACUAAUACCCCUGCAAGGAAGAUGACAGAAUGAAAAAGUGGACUGAGCAGCAUAUAACUUGUUAGAGAAGGUAUGAAGAAAAGGACACUGUUUAAAACCUCCUACCCUUUUAUUGGGUCAAAUACAUCUUAAAUCUCAUAAUGCUGUACUGCUAGAAAAUAAUCAAAUAUUUAAUUCUGAGAAGAAAAGGUUACAAUGAAAGGAAUAUCAACUAGUUCAAAUAUCAAAGAAUUAUCUGGUGGAAGAACAGUCAAGACAUGAAAUAUGAUUAUAAAGACAA
This is a long non-coding RNA of Populus euphratica (Euphrates poplar), 1150 nucleotides long. RefSeq lists it as uncharacterized. Lineage: Eukaryota; Viridiplantae; Streptophyta; Magnoliopsida; Malpighiales; Salicaceae. The transcript has 2 exons. The record is from RefSeq and is a predicted model, not a curated record.